This 181-nucleotide ribosomal RNA is filed under the name uncultured bacterium. RNAcentral's name for it is "partial 16S ribosomal RNA". It matches the Rfam family "Bacterial small subunit ribosomal RNA", at positions 1319 to 1500 of the family's 1533-position model. The record is from RNAcentral.
CAUGAAGCUGGAAUCGCAGUAAUCGCGGAUCAGAAUGCCGCGGUGAAUACGUUUCCGGGUCUUGUACACACCGCCCGUCACACCAUGGGAGUCGGAAAUGCCCGAAGUCUGUGACCCAACCUUAGGGAGGGAGCAGCCGAAGGCAGGUCGGAUGACUGGGGUGAAGUCGUAACAAGGUACC